AUACGUAGGGUGCGAGCGUUGUCCGGAAUUACUGGGCGUAAAGAGCUCGUAGGUGGUUUGUCGCGUCGUCUGUGAAAUUCCGUGGCUUAACUCCGGGCGUGCAGGCGAUACGGGCAUAACUUGAGUACUGUAGGGGAGACUGGAAUUCCUGGUGUAGCGGUGAAAUGCGCAGAUAUCAGGAGGAACACCGGUGGCGAAGGCGGGUCUCUGGGCAGUAACUGACGCUGAGGAGCGAAAGCAUGGGUGGCGAACAGGAUUAGAUACCCUGGUAGUCCAUGCCGUAAACGGUGGGCGCUAGGUGUAGGGGUCUUCCACGACUUCUGUGCCGUAGCUAACGCAUUAAGCGCCCCGCCUGGGGAGUACGGCCGCAAGGCUAAAACUCAAAGGAAUUGACGGGG
This 398-nucleotide ribosomal RNA is filed under the name uncultured bacterium. RNAcentral describes it as "partial 16S ribosomal RNA". It matches the Rfam family "Bacterial small subunit ribosomal RNA", at positions 523 to 918 of the family's 1533-position model. The record is from RNAcentral.